This 497-nucleotide ribosomal RNA is filed under the name uncultured bacterium. RNAcentral's name for it is "partial 16S ribosomal RNA". It matches the Rfam family "Bacterial small subunit ribosomal RNA", at positions 28 to 507 of the family's 1533-position model. The record is from RNAcentral.
GAUGAACGCUGGCGGCGUGCCUAAUACAUGCAAGUCGAGCGAACAGACGAGGAGCUUGCUCCUCUGACGUUAGCGGCGGACGGGUGAGUAACACGUGGAUAACCUACCUAUAAGACUGGGAUAACUUCGGGAAACCGGAGCUAAUACCGGAUAAUAUAUUGAACCGCAUGGUUCAAUAGUGAAAGACGGUUUUGCUGUCACUUAUAGAUGGAUCCGCGUCGCAUUAGCUAGUUGGUAAGGUAACGGCUUACCAAGGCAACGAUGCGUAGCCGACCUGUGAGGGUGAUCGGCCACACUGGAACUGGGACACGGUCCUGACACCUACGGGAGGCAGCGGUAGGGAAUCUUCCGCAAUGGGCGAAAGCCUGACGGAGCAACGCCGCGUGAGUGAUGAAGGUCUUCGGAUCGUAAGACUCUGUUAUUAGGGAAGAACAAAUGUGUAAGUAACUAUGCACGUCUUGACGGUACCUAGUCAGAAAGCCACGGCUAACUACGUG